Molecule: RNA transcript, 746 nt
Organism: Sorghum bicolor (sorghum)
Lineage: Eukaryota; Viridiplantae; Streptophyta; Magnoliopsida; Poales; Poaceae
Gene name: organelle RRM domain-containing protein 6, chloroplastic-like
Exons: 6
Source: RefSeq, a predicted model, not a curated record
AUCCAACUGAAAACAGUUCAAACCCUCUCGGCCCGAAUAGGAGGGCAAGGCUUAUCAUCCUUCCGAGACUCCACCCCGGACCCGGACAAUGGCGAGCGCUCACGCCAGUUUUGCCCUCACCAUCGCUGCUUCCAGAAGCUUCAGCUUCACUAUCGUGCCAUGCCCCUCCCCAUCGCCCACGCAUCGUCCGGCCGCCUCCUCCGUUGGGGUACGCAACCAGCAGCGCGCGUCCACUGCCAUGGCCUGCCUCCAGCAGCCGAGUGCUUCCCACGACGCCGCCACCAGGCUGUACGUCAGCGGUCUUUCGUUCCGCACCACCGAACGGAGCCUCCGGGGCGCGUUUGAGAAGUUUGGUGACCUUACGGAAGUUUGUCUCGUGAUGGAUAGAGUAGCGAACCGACCGAGAGGUUUCGCUUUCCUUUCUUACACCGAGGAGGAGGAAGCCAGGGGCGCCAUGGAAGGAAUGCACGGGAAGUUCCUGGAUGGCCGAGUAAUCUUUGUCGAGGUUGCCAAACGAAGACCUGGAGCCUGAAGGAUCGUGUCCAGCAUGGCCGUACGGCAUCACCAGUGUUACAAUUUUUAAGGUUCUGGCAAAGUCCCUGAUGAGACACACUGAUGCAGCCAAAGCUCAUGUGAAGUUCAUAUGCCAAUAGAGUAACUGAAGAAACCUCAGCAGCAUUCGGUUGUGUAGCUGCCAUUUCAUUGUUUCACAAAACAAUAUACAUAAUUUACAUAUAUAGGUCAUA